AUACAAUAUCACUCCGCCCGGGUACUACGAACAAAAGUUUAAAACCCAAAGGACUUGGCGGUGCUUAAUAUCCACCUAGAGGAGCCUGUUCUAUAACCGAUACUCCCCGUUAAACCUCACCCUUCCUUGUUCUUUCCCGCCUAUAUACCGCCAUCGUCAGUCCACCCUGUGAAGGACCCGUAGUUGACAGAAUCGUAACUUAAGCCAAAACGUUAGGUCGAGGUGUAGCGUACGGAAGGGGAAGAAAUGGGCUACAUUUGCUACAACAGCACAUACGAAUUCUAGUUUUGAAACAAACAGAUGAAGGAGGAUUUAGCAGUAAGCAGGAAAUAGAGAGUUCUGCUGAAGACGGCACUUAAGCGCGCACACACCGCCCGUC
Molecule: ribosomal RNA, 379 nt
Filed under: Achirus mucuri
Lineage: Eukaryota; Metazoa; Chordata; Actinopteri; Pleuronectiformes; Achiridae
Description: partial small subunit ribosomal RNA
Rfam family: Bacterial small subunit ribosomal RNA
Source: RNAcentral